UUCUUCUUCUUCUACUGAGAGCUUGUCUUUGUCUUGUCUUUGUUCUUCUUGUCUUUGUUCUUCUACUGGGAGCUUGUCUAAGUCAGAACCACCGUUUAACUCGGUGGUUUGGGGUGUAUUGAGGUGGCUAUCGGCUGUAGACGAAGGAGACUCGCGGCGGCGGAAGUGGUGGUUGGUGUUAGUGUGGCUUUUUUGGCCCCAUUUCAACCGGGUAAAGAGAAAUAAUGCAGUGGCUGUGACUUGACCGGUGCCGUUGCCAUUCUAAGAAUUGGGCAAAAGAGCAAAACCCUACUAAGACCUUUAUCUCGGUAUUGGGACAUCCGUCACCGUGCAAAAUGAGGACCUUGAAAAGAUACGACAAACGAUUCAACAACUUUCUAGGAACUAUGCGGAUGAACGAGAAAAAAGAAAGCAUGAAGAGAAGAUUAAAGACGCACUUAAGAAUGACAUCGACUCCCUCAAGGCUCAAGUAAACCACUUAAUCGGCCUGCCCCGCUCUCCGCCAAAAAGUCACAUUUAUGAAGAGGAUGGAAGUGAUGGAAAUAAUAUAAAUGAUGAAGAAGAUGAGGGGAAAUCCGAAGAUGAGGAGUGAUUUCAUGUUUGGUUGGAUUGUUGUUUAGUUGGAUGUUAACUUUGAAUGUUACAUUUUAAAGUUUGGUUGGAUAGUUUUGAUGUUUGAUGGGAUCAUUUGGAUGCUUGGAUAGUUUAUAAAGUUUUAUUGUUGUUAA
Nicotiana tabacum (common tobacco) is the source of this 728-nucleotide long non-coding RNA. RefSeq lists it as uncharacterized. The record is from RefSeq and is a predicted model, not a curated record. NCBI's taxonomy places the organism in Eukaryota, Viridiplantae, Streptophyta, Magnoliopsida, Solanales, Solanaceae.